CAGUCGUACCGACGAGAAAUCAACUUAUCGUGUGCGAACUUGUGGGCGUGCGUGAGUUUCGGCCUCGCUGUUUGCAUGUUUGUGCGCUUUGGGUGUACUUUUUCGUAUGGUUGGCCAACAUCAGUUUCGAUUACUAUAAAAUGACUGGCGGAAUGUAGCUUCGAUUUCGGUUGAAGUGUUAUAGCCUCUGGUAGAUGUGGUGAUUGGGACUGAGGAUUGCAACGAAUACCCUUUGGGCUAUCCGUCUGGCCUCUGAAAGUUGCUCAGGUGCCGAAAGCGUGCUUACGGUCAUCUAAGAUAACGUUCAACAGGUUAGAACGUGAUUACAUUCGUUAAGGACGUUGGCGUAAUGGCUUUAAACGA
RNAcentral lists this ribosomal RNA (363 nucleotides) under uncultured Glomeraceae. RNAcentral's name for it is "partial large subunit ribosomal RNA". Lineage: Eukaryota; Fungi; Glomeromycota; Glomeromycetes; Glomerales; Glomeraceae. The record is from RNAcentral.